GUAGGUGGCAAGCGUUGUCCGGGAAUUAUUGGGGCGUAAAGCGCGCGCAGGCGGUUCUUUAAGUCUGAUGUGAAAGCCCACGGGCUCAACCGUGGAGGGUCAUUGGAAACUGGAGAACUUGAGUACAGAAGAGGAAAGCGGAAUUCCGCGUGUAGCGGUGAAAUGCGUAGAGAUGUGGAGGAACACCAGUGGCGAAGGCGGCUUUCUGGUCUGUAACUGACGCUGAGGCGCGAAAGCGUGGGGAGCAAACAGGAUUAGAUACCCUGGUAGUCCACGCCGUAAACGAUGAGUGCUAAGUGUUAGGGGGUUUCCGCCCCUUAGUGCUGCAGCCAACGCAUUAAGCACUCCGCCUGGGGAGUACGGCCGCAAAGGCUG
RNAcentral lists this ribosomal RNA (375 nucleotides) under uncultured organism. RNAcentral describes it as "partial 16S ribosomal RNA". It matches the Rfam family "Bacterial small subunit ribosomal RNA", at positions 527 to 896 of the family's 1533-position model. The record is from RNAcentral.